GUUUUCUUUUUUUUUUUUUUUUACAAACUAAACUGUCAUCUCUUUAUUCAAUAAGAUGUGUCUUUACAAGUUUAAAAAGACUGGACACCAUUAUCCUUUAUGAAUAAUGCAGAUAACCAUUUUAAAAAACAUUUUACUUGGUCGGGCACAGUGGCUCACACCUGUAAUCCCAGCACUUUGGGAGGCCAAGGCAGGGGCAGAUCACGAGGUCAGGAGUUCAAGACCAGCGUGACGUGACCAAUAUGGUGAAACCCUGUCUCUACUAAAAAUACAAAAAUUAGCUGGGUGUGGUGGCAUAUGCUUGUAAUCCCAGCUACUUGGGAAGCUGAGGCAGGAGAAUCACUUGAACCCGGGAGGCAGAGGAUGCAGUGAGCUGAGAUCGCCACUGCACUCCAGCCUGGGUGACAGAGCAAGACUCCAUCUCAAAGAAACAAACAAAACCACUUUACUGACUGUAUUGUGACACGUUUAUUAAGCAUGAACCCCUAUCAGUACUCCUAAACUGUAAACAAUGAGGAACUAAGGUGUCAAAAGAAACACAUUAGGGAUCAUAUUAAUAGACAAAAACCUUUACAUUUUCUUAUUGCAUUUACACAAUCAACACACAAUAAGCAAAACUGAAUCCUUUCUAAGCAAACAUUUUUGCAUAUACUGCCUUCUCUUUAUCUUUCUGUGCCUUUAUCUUUUGUUUGACUUUCAGCAGUUCUGCCUGGAUAGCUUUAUCUUCUGGUGCUAUCUCCUGUGCUUUCUUAAGAUCAGCCAAUGCUUGAUCAUAUUCUUUUAAUCCUUGCCAUCCUUGAGCUCUGCGGUACAAUGCUUUGGUAUUUGAUGGGUCUAUUUCAAGAGCCUCCAAACAACUGUCAAUUGCUCCCUGCCAAUUUGACAUCUUCAGUUUACAAGCACCAAUAUUCAGUACACAGCUUAAAGCUAUAGGUUGCAGCUUGGCUCUAUCUGCUGUCUCAAUAACAGCCUUUGAACUGUCCACGUAUCUUAAAACUUUUGCAUAUUUUUUAAUGGCCAUCUCCCAGUUCUGGGAUUUGAAAAAAGUAUUUCCAAUAUUUUUUAAGUCUUCUGUUAUUAAUAAAAAUUUAUCUACGUCUUUUAAAUCUACAUCCGCAUCCUCAGGGAAAUCUGGAUGACUGUCGCCAGAGCCAUCUUUUGGGAAUAUUCCCCAGUCAUCUCCUUCCUUCAAUUCUCCACAUUCUGCAAUAAUGCACAAUUUAGCAGGUUUUUCACCUUUCACUUCCACAUUUUCCAAUAUCCUUGUCACUCCUAUUCCUUUAAUUACUUGGCCAAACACCACAUGUUUCCCAUCCAAAUGAGGAGUUGGAACUGUUGUGAUAAAAAACUGAGAACCAUUUGUGUUAUGGCUCGCGUUUGCCAUGCUCAGUAAACCCUCCGAUCAUGCUUAUAGUGGAAAUUUUCAUCUUCAAAUUUUUCACCAUAAAUACUUUCUCCACCUGUCCCAUUCUGAUUUGAGAAGUCUCCACCCUGAAUCAUAAAUUUCUUAAUAAUUCGAUGAAAAGGGCAUCCUUUGAAAUGGAGAGGUUUCCCAGUCGUGGGUCCAAUGCCUUUUUCUCCUGUACACAGUGCACGAAAAUUUUCCGAAGUUUUGGGUACAAUAUCUGCAAACAAUUCUAAGACAAUUCGACCAACUCGCUCCCCUCCUAUGUCCACGUCAAAGAAGACUCGAGGGUUACUGGGGUUGGAGGGCUUGACUUGGGGGGACGGAUGCGACAUCUCGACUUGCAGACGCGUUUGGACGCAGGAUCCCCGCACCUCGUGGCCGCCCGGCACCUCAAACUCCAGAGCGCUAGUCUCCGCC
RNAcentral lists this long non-coding RNA (1825 nucleotides) under Macaca fascicularis (crab-eating macaque). RNAcentral's name for it is "lncRNA (ENSMFAG00000058925.1)". The record is from RNAcentral. Lineage: Eukaryota; Metazoa; Chordata; Mammalia; Primates; Cercopithecidae.